RNAcentral lists this unclassified non-coding RNA (200 nucleotides) under soil metagenome. RNAcentral's name for it is "partial contains internal transcribed spacer 2 and large subunit ribosomal RNA". The record is from RNAcentral.
UUUUGCAGGCCAUUGCUGGUCAGCUCCUCUUAAAUGCAUUAGCGGAACUCUAUGCAGUACCGGCUUCGGUUUGAUAAUCCUAUCUAUGCUGUUGCUGUGGACUGUGUGUUUGGCUUACAACUGUCUUUGGACUGUCGUCUUUGCACGGCAUAACCUUUAAGCUUGACCUCAAAUCAGGUAGGACUACCCGCUGAACUUAA